AAUAUGAAAGCAGACCCUCAUUGGGGCGUAACGUCACGCCGUGUCCGCAAUAGCGCCAUUGCUGUUGUGCUGACGCGGCGGGGGGUUAACGCCCUUUUGGGCCAGUCUGACUCCAUAUUCACCCAUGUCUUUUGCGUACUACUUGUUUCCUUGGCGGGUUCGCCCGCCAAUUGGACCCAAUUAAACCUUUUUUGUAAUUGCAAUCAGCGUCAGCAAAACAAUGUAAUAAAUUACAACUUUCAACAACGGAUCUCUUGGUUCUGGCAUCGAUGAAGAACGCAGCGAAAUGCGAUAAGUAGUGUGAAUUGCAGAAUUCAGUGAAUCAUCGAAUCUUUGAACGCACAUUGCGCCCUUUGGUAUUCCAAAGGGCAUGCCUGUUCGAGCGUCAUUUGUACCCUCAAGCUUUGCUUGGUGUUGGGCGUUUUUGUCUCGGGUCCGCCCCGAGACUCGCCUUAAAAUCAUUGGCAGCCGGCCUACUGGUUUCGGAGCGCAGCACAUUUUUGCGCUUUGUCCAGUCGUGGUCUUGCGUCCAUGAAGCGAAUAUUUUCAACGUUUGACCUCGGAUCAGGUAGGGAUACCCGCUGAACUUAAGCAUAUCAAUAA
RNAcentral lists this unclassified non-coding RNA (603 nucleotides) under Pyrenophora biseptata. RNAcentral's name for it is "sequence contains 18S rRNA gene, ITS1, 5.8S rRNA gene, ITS2". The stretch from base 235 to 388 matches the Rfam family "5.8S ribosomal RNA". Lineage: Eukaryota; Fungi; Ascomycota; Dothideomycetes; Pleosporales; Pleosporaceae. The record is from RNAcentral.